Molecule: transfer RNA, 69 nt
Filed under: Marmota monax (woodchuck)
Lineage: Eukaryota; Metazoa; Chordata; Mammalia; Rodentia; Sciuridae
Description: tRNA.Ala
Source: RNAcentral
UCAUGGAGCUUAGUGGUAGAGUGCUUGCCUAGCAUGUGCAAGACCCUGGAUUUGAUUCCCAGCACUGAA